UAGCAAAUAAAUGCAUUAGAAUUAGAAUCUAAAAAA
Molecule: transfer RNA, 36 nt
Filed under: Myrmarachne sp. B FSC-2006
Lineage: Eukaryota; Metazoa; Arthropoda; Arachnida; Araneae; Salticidae
Description: partial tRNA-Leu
Source: RNAcentral